This 156-nucleotide small nuclear RNA is filed under the name Phaethon lepturus (White-tailed tropicbird). RNAcentral describes it as "U1 spliceosomal RNA". It matches the Rfam family "U1 spliceosomal RNA". From Rfam's summary of the family: U1 is a small nuclear RNA (snRNA) component of the spliceosome (involved in pre-mRNA splicing). Its 5' end forms complementary base pairs with the 5' splice junction, thus defining the 5' donor site of an intron. Lineage: Eukaryota; Metazoa; Chordata; Aves; Phaethontiformes; Phaethontidae. The record is from Rfam by way of RNAcentral.
AUACUUACCUGGCAGGGGAGACAGCAUGAUCAGGCAGGUGGUUUUCCCAGGGCGAGGCUCAUCGUCUGCGCUCCGGGUGUGCUGCGCUUUCCCCAAACGCGGGAAACUCCACUGCAUCAUUUGUGUAGUGGGGGACUGCAUUUGCGCCCUCCCCUU